RNAcentral lists this ribosomal RNA (1279 nucleotides) under Moraxella sp. ALBL_051. RNAcentral's name for it is "bacterial SSU rRNA". It matches the Rfam family "Bacterial small subunit ribosomal RNA", at positions 60 to 1337 of the family's 1533-position model. The record is from RNAcentral. Lineage: Bacteria; Pseudomonadati; Pseudomonadota; Gammaproteobacteria; Moraxellales; Moraxellaceae.
AGUCGAACGAUGACUCUCUAGCUUGCUAGAGAUGAUUAGUGGCGGACGGGUGAGUAACAUUUAGGAAUCUACCUAGUAGUGGGGGAUAGCUCGGGGAAACUCGAAUUAAUACCGCAUACGACCUACGGGUGAAAGGGGGCGCAAGCUCUUGCUAUUAGAUGAGCCUAAAUCAGAUUAGCUAGUUGGUGGGGUAAAGGCCCACCAAGGCGACGAUCUGUAACUGGUCUGAGAGGAUGAUCAGUCACACCGGAACUGAGACACGGUCCGGACUCCUACGGGAGGCAGCAGUGGGGAAUAUUGGACAAUGGGGGCAACCCUGAUCCAGCCAUGCCGCGUGUGUGAAGAAGGCCUUUUGGUUGUAAAGCACUUUAAGCAGGGAGGAGAGGCUAAUGGUUAAUACCCAUUAGAUUAGACGUUACCUGCAGAAUAAGCACCGGCUAACUCUGUGCCAGCAGCCGCGGUAAUACAGAGGGUGCGAGCGUUAAUCGGAAUUACUGGGCGUAAAGCGAGUGUAGGUGGCUCAUUAAGUCACAUGUGAAAUCCCCGGGCUUAACCUGGGAACUGCAUGUGAUACUGGUGGUGCUAGAAUAUGUGAGAGGGAAGUAGAAUUCCAGGUGUAGCGGUGAAAUGCGUAGAGAUCUGGAGGAAUACCGAUGGCGAAGGCAGCUUCCUGGCAUAAUAUUGACACUGAGAUUCGAAAGCGUGGGUAGCAAACAGGAUUAGAUACCCUGGUAGUCCACGCCGUAAACGAUGUCUACUAGCCGUUGGGGUCCUUGAGACUUUAGUGGCGCAGUUAACGCGAUAAGUAGACCGCCUGGGGAGUACGGCCGCAAGGUUAAAACUCAAAUGAAUUGACGGGGGCCCGCACAAGCGGUGGAGCAUGUGGUUUAAUUCGAUGCAACGCGAAGAACCUUACCUGGUCUUGACAUAGUGAGAAUCCUGCAGAGAUGCGGGAGUGCCUUCGGGAAUUCACAUACAGGUGCUGCAUGGCUGUCGUCAGCUCGUGUCGUGAGAUGUUGGGUUAAGUCCCGCAACGAGCGCAACCCUUUUCCUUAUUUGCCAGCGGGUUAAGCCGGGAACUUUAAGGAUACUGCCAGUGACAAACUGGAGGAAGGCGGGGACGACGUCAAGUCAUCAUGGCCCUUACGACCAGGGCUACACACGUGCUACAAUGGUAGGUACAGAGGGUUGCUACACAGCGAUGUGAUGCUAAUCUCAAAAAGCCUAUCGUAGUCCGGAUUGGAGUCUGCAACUCGACUCCAUGAAGUUGGAAUCGCUA